This 459-nucleotide ribosomal RNA is filed under the name uncultured bacterium. Its description in RNAcentral is "SSU rRNA". It matches the Rfam family "Bacterial small subunit ribosomal RNA", at positions 26 to 518 of the family's 1533-position model. The record is from RNAcentral.
AGAAUCAACGCUGGCGGCGUGCCUAACACAUGCAAGUCGAACGAGAAAGUGGGAGCAAUCCCACGAGUAAAGUGGCGCACGGGUGAGUAACACGUGACUAACCUACCCUUGAGUGGGGGAUAACCUAGGGAAACCUGGGCUAAUACCGCAUAAUACCUACGGGUCAAAGGAGCAAUUCGCUUAAGGAGGGGGUCGCGGCAGAUUAGUUAGUUGGCGGGGUAAUGGCCCACCAAGACAGUGAUCUGUAUCCGGCCUGAGAGGGCGCACGGACACACUGGAACUGAAACACGGUCCAGACUCCUACGGGAGGCAGCAGUGGGAAUUUGCGCAAUGGGGGAAACCCUGACGCAGCAACGCCGCGUGGAGGAUGAAGCCCCUUGGGGCGUAAACUCCUUUCGAUCGGGAAGAUAAUGACGGUACCGGAAGAAGAAGCCCGGCUAACUUCGCGCCAGCAGCCGC